Molecule: non-coding RNA, 72 nt
Organism: Arachnomyces sp. PD_36
Lineage: Eukaryota; Fungi; Ascomycota; Eurotiomycetes; Onygenales; Arachnomycetaceae
Source: the annotation of a GenBank genome assembly
GGUCGGCUGGCUCAAUGGUAGAGUGCUUGACUACGAAUCAAGUGGUUGUGGGUUCGAUCCCCACGUCGACCU